UGACCUCGGAUCAGGUAGGGAUACCCGCUGAACUUAAGCAUAUCAAUAAGCGGAGGAAAAGAAACCAACAGGGAUUGCCCUAGUAACGGCGAGUGAAGCGGCAACAGCUCAAAUUUGAAAGCUGGCCUUCGGGUCCGCAUUGUAAUUUGUAGAGGAUGCUUUGGGGAGGCCGCCUGUCUAAGUUCCUUGGAACAGGACGUCAUAGAGGGUGAGAAUCCCGUAUGUGACAGGAAAUGGCACCCUAUGUAAAGCUCCUUCGACGAGUCGAGUUGUUUGGGAAUGCAGCUCUAAAUGGGAGGUAAAUUUCUUCUAAAGCUAAAUAUUGGCGAGAGACCGAUAGCGCACAAGUAGAGUGAUCGAAAGAUGAAAAGCACUUUUGGAAAGGGAGUUAAAAAGCACGUGAAAUUGUUGAAAGGGAAGCGCUUGCAAUCAGACUUGUCUAAACUGUUCGGCCGGUCUUCUGACCGGUUUACUCAGUUUGGACAGGCCAGCAUCAGUUUCGGCGGCCGGAUAAAGGCUCUGGGAAUGUGGCCCCCACUUCGGUGGGGGUGUUAUAGCCCAGUGUGUAAUACGGCCAGCCGGG
This 583-nucleotide ribosomal RNA is filed under the name Aureobasidium bupleuri. RNAcentral's name for it is "eukaryotic LSU rRNA". It matches the Rfam family "Eukaryotic large subunit ribosomal RNA", at positions 1 to 591 of the family's 3401-position model. Lineage: Eukaryota; Fungi; Ascomycota; Dothideomycetes; Dothideales; Saccotheciaceae. The record is from RNAcentral.